This 246-nucleotide unclassified non-coding RNA is filed under the name uncultured Cercophora. RNAcentral's name for it is "sequence contains ITS2". The record is from RNAcentral. Lineage: Eukaryota; Fungi; Ascomycota; Sordariomycetes; Sordariales; Lasiosphaeriaceae.
AACGCACAUUGCGCCCGCCAGCACUCUGGCGGGCAUGCCUGUUCGAGCGUCAUUUCAACCAUCAAGCCCCAGGCUUGCGUUGGAGCACUGCGGCUGCCGCAGCCUCCUAAAAGCAGUGGCGGGCUCGCUAUCAUACCGAGUGCAGUAGAUUACUCUUCGCUCAGGGCGUGUGGCGGGUUCCAGCCGUGAAAACCCCUACUUCUUAAGGUUGACCUCGGAUCAGGUAGGAAUACCCGCUGAACUUAA